GGUCAAGAAGAGAAGCGCAAACGGUGGAUGCCUUGGCAGUAAGAGGCGAUGAAGGACGUGGAAUCCUGCGAAAAGCUUUGGUGAGCUGGAAACGAGCGAUGAGCCGAAGAUGUCCGAAUGGGGGAACCCGGCUAUGCGUGAGCAUAGUCAUCUAUAGCUGAAUACAUAGGUUAUAGAGGCGAACUCGGGGAACUGAAACAUCUAAGUACCCGAAGGAAAAGAAAUCAAAAGAGAUUCUCCAAGUAGCGGCGAGCGAACGGGGAGGAGCCUGGCGUGAUUUAUGAUACGAAAGAAUAGAACAACUUGGGAAGGUUGGCCAUAGAGGGUGAAAGCCCCGUAUAUAAAG
Molecule: ribosomal RNA, 346 nt
Filed under: Staphylococcus pseudintermedius
Lineage: Bacteria; Bacillati; Bacillota; Bacilli; Caryophanales; Staphylococcaceae
Description: partial 23S ribosomal RNA
Rfam family: Bacterial large subunit ribosomal RNA
Source: RNAcentral